This 1061-nucleotide long non-coding RNA is filed under the name Trifolium pratense (red clover). RNAcentral describes it as "long non-coding RNA (TPRA_LNC005530)". Lineage: Eukaryota; Viridiplantae; Streptophyta; Magnoliopsida; Fabales; Fabaceae. The record is from RNAcentral.
UCAUUUUGAAAUUCUCUAAAUUUAACUUAAACAAAAUACUUCAUAAAUUUCCAUCAUUUUGAAAAUUCUUCAAAUUUUCAUCCAAACAAUGAAAUUCACCUCAAAUCAUUUGAAUUCCCUCAAAACAUUACUUUCCUCAAAAAAUCCCCCCAUCCAAACACACUCUUAAGGUAUUAGGUUUAUGAGUCAUCUCAAGUAGUUAACCUUAACUUUUCCAACCAACGUGAGACUUAACUCACACUUGAUAGAUCUCAACAUCUCCUCUAGUGUUAGUCUUUCUGUGUCCACGAUCCAUCACCACUCACUUAUUGCUCCACCGAAUCGGGUUUUGGAAUCACUGUUGGGUUGUGGGAGGAGAGCCUCACUGAAUGAGAUCGACACAUUUAACAUUAAACCAAUAUACAAGUAACUUUAACACCACAUUUUCACUCAAAACCUUAAUUAGACCUUUGGUUUAUGGUCAUCUGUUUAACCUUAACUCCUUCAAUGUGAGAUUUAACUCACGUUGAUCUAUCUUAACAAUUAUAGACUGUAUUAUAUAGUCUAUGGAAAAUAGAAAUCAUAUAGUUGUAUGGAAAAUAGAAUUCUUAACUAAAAAAAUGACAUCUUUUUUAAAAUAAAAGGAUUUCUUUUAAGACUAUAAUAAUAAAUAAAUUGUUGGAAAGUAAAAAAAAAAACACUAUCUACUUAUUAUUGUUUAAAGUGUCCUUGUCUCAAUUUGCACAAAAACAAAAAAAGGCCAUAUAUUUUAAAUUUCAUAUCCAAAUAUGAAACUUCCUUCACUCUGCAUGAUUGCCAACCCAGGUUGUGCCUAGCUUCUACCAUGCUCCCAUUGUUCAUUGGUUGAAUUCAUCACCUAAAAUAUUGAAACAGGAAAAGAUACAUAGUUAGAUUAGAUAUGUUUAAUUUAAUUCUAAAGGGUAUCUAUACAAGUGAGGAUGAACUAUAUAUUUGAAGAGUAAAGAGCACCGCAAAUUAUUUGACAUAUUUUAAUGGGUAAAUAGUGUUAUACCCCCUGCAAAAUAGAUGAGUUUUGCGUUAUCCCCUGUAAAAUAUUUUUU